This is a long non-coding RNA of Hippocampus comes (tiger tail seahorse), 766 nucleotides long. RefSeq lists it as uncharacterized. NCBI's taxonomy places the organism in Eukaryota, Metazoa, Chordata, Actinopteri, Syngnathiformes, Syngnathidae. The record is from RefSeq and is a predicted model, not a curated record. The transcript has 3 exons.
UGUACCAAUAUCUUUCGUUUGGUGCAACAAAUUUAGUUCUCUGCCAUAGCCAUCAUCCAUUCAAUUGUUUCUCCACUUUAUUCAUUCGUGUAUUUAUGAAAAUCUGCCAUAACUAUUCAGAACGUUCAUUCAUGUUGAACAAAGGCAGUGGGAUUCACUGCCUCCAACUUCGUCGUGUCGUGUCGUGUUGUGUCCCCCCCAGUGUCCUUGCUCUGUUGCCAUCAUGUGGAAGGGUCGUAACACCCACGCGGCGCCUUUCUCCAUGGGAAACUCCAGCGUGGAAUUGAAUCCAACCCAUUUCAAGAGGACUGGUACCAGAGCCCAAGCUGUGUCAAGAUGGCAACUGGUACACAAUCCAUUCCGUCGACCCCAGCCUGACAAUAAAGACGGAGUCCAAAUAACGGUGAUCCGUCGUUGAAAUUGGACUGCUGCACUGAAAUAAUAUAUUUUGCCGAUGCACUUUGUGAGGCUGUCUCACCGCUCAGAUAUGACUCCGUUUUUCCUCUGACAAGCAAAUCGCAGAUGCACAAAUGAACCGUCACCGUAUCAAAACAUCCAUACUGUUAUGUCAGAUUACACGAAGACAGCCCAAUUUUGAGCCAACAGACGUGUCGCAGACAAACGUACUGUCUCGUAGCUGAUUUGGAGUUGUCUUGACGUGUCGAAGCCUGUGUCGUGUGACAUGCUCAACGACUGGUCGUGAGGCAUCUGGGACACUUUACGGCCGCAUCGAGGGAAGUCUGGCACGUAAGAAUUUUUGUUGAUC